Molecule: small nuclear RNA, 97 nt
Filed under: Suricata suricatta (meerkat)
Lineage: Eukaryota; Metazoa; Chordata; Mammalia; Carnivora; Herpestidae
Source: RNAcentral
GUGCUCACUACCAGAGCACAUAUACUAAAACUGGAAUGACAGAUUAGAAUAGCCCCUGCCCAAUAACACCCUGAUUCAUGACAUGUAGCAUACUUUU